This 742-nucleotide ribosomal RNA is filed under the name Triticum aestivum (bread wheat). RNAcentral's name for it is "partial small subunit ribosomal RNA". Lineage: Eukaryota; Viridiplantae; Streptophyta; Magnoliopsida; Poales; Poaceae. The record is from RNAcentral.
GACAAGUUCUGAAUAGUCAAAGUGAUUCUCAACAGCUAAAUGCCAUGAUAAAAAUAGUUACACAACAUUCCGUUCAAACAAAAACACGUACACUCCACUUUGCUGUAAAAAGCAGUUCUCACUUCUCUAGUUAAUCACCACAGACCACACAGCUUAUUUUAAUUGAUGCUGCUGAAAACAUGUAUUACAGUUCCCAUCGGAAGUAUGCAAGACAGAGAGCUAAGAAUUAACUCACAGUAUUUUUAUUUCACACAUCAAUUAAUCCUCAUGUGUAGUAUAGCCUAAGUAACUAGCUAGUCGAUCCAACCGGCCAUGAAAGAAACUGCUUGUGUUGAUGUCGAAGACAUUUGCCAAAGGUUCGAAAUUGCCCUGUAGGGGACUGAAAAAUCAGCUAGCUGGAGCAGCAACCAUGCAUGCACCUGCUAGCUCCUGCAUCUGCAUGCAUGCCUGAAUCUGCAGGACUCGACAGCAUGCAGAGUGUCGCCUCGGAGUUGCCCGGCGGUACUGCGGAACAGAUCGAUCGGCCACCGCCUCGGAUCCGUCCCAGCGAAUGCACCGGCGCCGCCGCGAGCAUGCUUGAUCACAUGGCCAUGGCACGCCGGCCGGCCGGCAGCUGUAUUUGUAUCUUGGGCCGGAGGUGUGUGUGUGUGUGUGUGUGUGUGUGUGACGGUGCAAGAUGAAAACGAGAGAUUAGGCUGCCGGAUGGUUUUAUACAGUGAGCAAUUGAUGGAGAAAGUUGGCC